This 378-nucleotide unclassified non-coding RNA is filed under the name plant metagenome. Its description in RNAcentral is "partial contains 5.8S ribosomal RNA, internal transcribed spacer 2, and large subunit ribosomal RNA". The stretch from base 1 to 105 matches the Rfam family "5.8S ribosomal RNA", at positions 50 to 154 of the family's 154-position model. The record is from RNAcentral.
GAAAUGCGAUAAGUAAUGUGAAUUGGAGAAUUCAGUGAAUCAUCGAAUCUUUGAACGCACCUUGCGCUCCUUGGUAUUCCUUGGAGCAUGCCUGUUUGAGUAUCAUGAAAUCUUCAAAGUAAAUCUUUUGUUAACUCAAUUGGUUUCUACUUUGGUAUUGGAGGUCUUUGCAGCUUCACACCUGCUCCUCUUUGUUCAUUAGCUGGAUCUCAGUGUUAUGCUUGGUUCCACUCGGCGUGAUAAGUUAUCUAUCGCUGAGGACACUGUAAAAGGUGGCCAAGGUAAAUGCAGAUGAACCGCUUCUAAUAGUCCAUUGACUUGGACAAUACUUUUAUGAUCUGAUCUCAAAUCAGGUAGGACUACCCGCUGAACUUAAGC